Ciona savignyi (Pacific transparent sea squirt) is the source of this 71-nucleotide non-coding RNA. The record is from Rfam. Lineage: Eukaryota; Metazoa; Chordata; Ascidiacea; Phlebobranchia; Cionidae.
GCAUUGGUGGUUCAGUGGUAGAAUCCUCGCCUGCCACGCGGGGGGCCUGGGAUCGAUUCCCGGCCAAUGCA